Molecule: long non-coding RNA, 1405 nt
Filed under: Apteryx owenii (little spotted kiwi)
Lineage: Eukaryota; Metazoa; Chordata; Aves; Apterygiformes; Apterygidae
Description: lncRNA (ENSAOWG00000010467.1)
Source: RNAcentral
CUCUAGUGCCCAAUGACGAGAACACUAAUUCAAAGUUUCUCCAGAGAUUUCUUUUCAUGAACGUGAGAUACAGCAAAGUCCCUUUCUUCAGUGCUAAAAAUUUUGUUAUCGGCUUUCAUUUUGUAGUAUUUUAUAUGCGAAGUGAUGAUACUGAAAAUUAAUGUAGUUAGUUAAUUAAGCUCCAUUAAUAGCUGAGAAAUAUUUCACAAUUUUUCCACUACAAAUUAUGUGUUAUAUUUGUUUGGUUUCUUUACUUUAUUUUGCUGUUAUGGGUUUUUGAUCAAAAUAGCCUUGCACGGGAAGCAAAAGAUGUUUGCUGAUUACAUUUGUUACUUCCCCGCUCUGUGAAAAGGAACCAGACCUACGUUGGAAAUGUCGUGCUUCAAGCAGUUCGGACUGCAGCUACACAUGAGACUUACGUAGGAUAUUUUUGUAAAAAUACACAGGUUGCUGCAAAUGAAACAUCAACAGAACAAACAUCUUUGCCAUCAAAGGAGACGUCUAGUGUCUCGUCUAGUGUCUCACCUAGUGUCUCAUCUUCCUCCAGUGUCACACAGACUCCUGAACCAGAAACACACGGGAAUGACCAUAUUUCAGGAAAAGAACUCUCCACUUCAUUAGUGGCAGCCCUCAGCAUUUUCUUUGUGCUCUUUUUAUUUUUGUUGUUAUUAGUAUUUGGUGUGCACGAAAAAAGUCAAAGGAGCGAAGAAGAAAUGAAGGUAAAGAUCUAUAUAUUUUCCUUUCUGUGUGUUUAUUAUAAGAUUAAGAAUGAAAUAAUUGCAUGAAUUGUAUUUUGCAACAGAACUAUUUGGGGUGUGGGCUUUGUGCUAUAGCCACUUCCUCUGAUUUUUUUUAUGUUCAUCUUGUGGUUCUUUUCCAUUAAAUGGAAGUUCAGUAUGUGCUUAAGUGCUUUACUAGAUCAAGAGUAUCCUGGACAACAAACAGUGUUAGCUGAACACAGCAGAAAUAAGAAUAACAAAUAUUUGUCCAUUUUCAAGCAAUAAUUCAUAUAAAUCAUGCUUAUAUUGCUUUCUAUUUGACAUUUGUAAACCUAUAUGUGAAUGGCUCUUUGCUUUUGGAAAUGCUUGCAGAAUGGCUGUAUUUUGUCUGCACUUUUACAGAUUUGUGUAUUAGAAAUAAUAUUUACUCUUUGUUAUUUUGUUAAUGCUCUAUUUAAAAUGUUUAUGAUUGCUCAAGUAAUUAGAAAAAUUCUCUCUAGUUUAGCUGACCAGUCCCACAGAGUGGGUGCUGAAUACUUAGCAGUUCAACUACCUGAGAACUUGGAAUGAUUUGUGUGAAUGAAGUUUGUACAACAUAUGGCCUGACAAAUGCACUCACAAAGCAGUUAGUCUGGUUCAUUGCACUGCAGUUCUGUUGUGUGCUGAUCGGCAAGGGAGGCUGGCAG